UUUAUUUCGGAGCAAAAAAACAAGACUUAGGGCCCCAUAUUGGCUAGGGGCCGGCUCUGCUGGGCAUGUUGAACUCGCUUCAAAGUACAGGCCCCUGAAGUCUGCAGACACAUGGCCGGGAGAAGAUGUUCGGCUCGAGUGCCUGUGAUGCCCGACACCUCACCUGAUCCCCAACAGCUGACCACUGAACUUCCCCAAUGAGAUGAAGGUGGAGAUGGUCACACCCACCAUUCCUCGCACCCUCUUGGGGGCGCAUUCAACAAGUUGACCCGACACCAGUGCCCCCACCAACCCCCCGAUGCAGAAAAUGGACACGGUGAAGGACCAGAUGAGAGACACCUGCCACUGCUCCAACGAGACACCGUAUCUCUGCUGACAGGUUUUGUUCACCAGCUCCUUUAUGAACUGAAAACACCACAUGUACACUUAGUGUCACUUUAGUUUUGAUUGCAUAGAAGCGUUACGUGAGGUUUAGCACGUUUUCCUCACGCAGAAGUGCCAUACGGUUAUCUUUACAGCAGAUAUAAAACCGCUCAUACAUCACUUAAAUUUGCUGACAUCUUACUGGGAGUUUUUGAAGUAGUUCUACUUACAACAGAGGGGGAGGUCAUCACGGAUACACUGUAUCCAUAUUGAAACGUCCCUCCGAUGCCACAGAUGAAAAUGGCAGCGAUCACGACGGGGCAGUCUAGCUGCAGAAACAUGAACAUGUCUUUAAGUUAGAAAUGACAAAUCGUGGUACAUUUUUUUCUUUGAAAUCAAACAACAAUUUUCCACCUUUCUAUUAACACGUUGCCCAAAGCUAACAUUUGUCAGAGUCAGUUCUAAAUUAUUUAUGUUUAUUCUGCAGGCAGUACACUACAGAGCAUGUAAUUAAAUUCAGCAUUCGGGCUAUUUUUCUUUUUGAUAAAGCUCCCUCCAAACCUUGGCUUUUACACAUGUAUCCCACCAGAAAUGUGAGGUAGACACAUAGAAAUGAUUUUGAAUGUAACCUACCAGGAGUGCUAAAUACUGUGAC
This is a long non-coding RNA of Scophthalmus maximus (turbot), 1018 nucleotides long. RefSeq lists it as uncharacterized. NCBI's taxonomy places the organism in Eukaryota, Metazoa, Chordata, Actinopteri, Pleuronectiformes, Scophthalmidae. The record is from RefSeq and is a predicted model, not a curated record. The transcript is spliced from 3 exons.